AGUUUCUUAGCUCAGUGGUUAAGGUGUUGAACUACUGAUCGGAAGGUGUUGAGUUCAAAUCCCAGCACCACUA
Ameiurus melas (black bullhead) is the source of this 73-nucleotide non-coding RNA. The record is from the annotation of a GenBank genome assembly. Lineage: Eukaryota; Metazoa; Chordata; Actinopteri; Siluriformes; Ictaluridae.